GGGUUGUGAGGUUAAGCGACUAAGCGUACACGGUGGAUGCCCUGGCAGUCAGAGGCGAUGAAGGACGUGCUAAUCUGCGAUAAGCGCCGGUAAGGUGAUAUGAACCGUUAUAACCGGCGAUUUCCGAAUGGGGAAACCCAGUGUGACUCGUCACACUAUCAUUAACUGAAUCCAUAGGUUAAUGAGGCGAACCGGGGGAACUGAAACAUCUAAGUACCCCGAGGAAAAGAAAUCAACCGAGAUUCCCCCAGUAGCGGCGAGCGAACGGGGAGGAGCCCAGAGCCUGAAUCAGCAUGUGUGUUAGUGGAAGCGUCUGGAAAGGCGCGCGAUACAGGGUGACAGCCCCGUACACAAAAGCGCAUGUGCUGUGAGCUCGAUGAGUAGGGCGGGACACGUGGUAUCCUGUCUGAAUAUGGGGGGACCAUCCUCCAAGGCUAAAUACUCCUGACUGACCGAUAGUGAACCAGUACCGUGAGGGAAAGGCGAAAAGAACCCCGGCGAGGGGAGUGAAAAAGAACCUGAAACCGUGUACGUACAAGCAGUGGGAGCCUCUUUAUGGGGUGACUGCGUACCUUUUGUAUAAUGGGUCAGCGACUUAUAUUCUGUAGCAAGGUUAACCGAAUAGGGGAGCCGGAGGGAAACCGAGUCUUAACCGGGCGUUAAGUUGCAGGGUAUAGACCCGAAACCCGGUGAUCUAGCCAUGGGCAGGUUGAAGGUUGGGUAACACUAACUGGAGGACCGAACCGACUAAUGUUGAAAAAUUAGCGGAUGACCUGUGGCUGGGGGUGAAAGGCCAAUCAAACCGGGAGAUAGCUGGUUCUCCCCGAAAGCUAUUUAGGUAGCGCCUCGUGAAUUCAUCUCCGGGGGUAGAGCACUGUUUCGGCUAGGGGGCCAUCCCGGCUUACCAACCCGAUGCAAACUGCGAAUACCGGAGAAUGUUAUCACGGGAGACACACGGCGGGUGCUAACGUCCGUCGUGAAGAGGGAAACAACCCAGACCGCCAGCUAAGGUCCCAAAGUCAUGGUUAAGUGGGAAACGAUGUGGGAAGGCCCAGACAGCCAGGAUGUUGGCUUAGAAGCAGCCAUCAUUUAAAGAAAGCGUAAUAGCUCACUGGUCGAGUCGGCCUGCGCGGAAGAUGUAACGGGGCUAAACCAUGCACCGAAGCUGCGGCAGCGACACUGUGUGUUGUUGGGUAGGGGAGCGUUCUGUAAGCCUGUGAAGGUGGCCUGUGAGGGUUGCUGGAGGUAUCAGAAGUGCGAAUGCUGACAUAAGUAACGAUAAAGCGGGUGAAAAGCCCGCUCGCCGGAAGACCAAGGGUUCCUGUCCAACGUUAAUCGGGGCAGGGUGAGUCGACCCCUAAGGCGAGGCCGAAAGGCGUAGUCGAUGGGAAACGGGUUAAUAUUCCCGUACUUGGUGUUACUGCGAAGGGGGGACGGAGAAGGCUAUGUUGGCCGGGCGACGGUUGUCCCGGUUUAAGCGUGUAGGUGUGUGUUCCAGGUAAAUCCGGUUCACUUUAACACUGAGGCGUGACGACGAGGCACUACGGUGCUGAAGCAACAAAUGCCCUGCUUCCAGGAAAAGCCUCUAAGCAUCAGGUAACAUCAAAUCGUACCCCAAACCGACACAGGUGGUCAGGUAGAGAAUACCAAGGCGCUUGAGAGAACUCGGGUGAAGGAACUAGGCAAAAUGGUGCCGUAACUUCGGGAGAAGGCACGCUGACACGUAGGUGAAGUGAUUUACUCACGGAGCUGAAGUCAGUCGAAGAUACCAGCUGGCUGCAACUGUUUAUUAAAAACACAGCACUGUGCAAACACGAAAGUGGACGUAUACGGUGUGACGCCUGCCCGGUGCCGGAAGGUUAAUUGAUGGGGUCAGCGCAAGCGAAGCUCCUGAUCGAAGCCCCGGUAAACGGCGGCCGUAACUAUAACGGUCCUAAGGUAGCGAAAUUCCUUGUCGGGUAAGUUCCGACCUGCACGAAUGGCGUAAUGAUGGCCAGGCUGUCUCCACCCGAGACUCAGUGAAAUUGAACUCGCUGUGAAGAUGCAGUGUACCCGCGGCAAGACGGAAAGACCCCGUGAACCUUUACUAUAGCUUGACACUGAACAUUGAGCCUUGAUGUGUAGGAUAGGUGGGAGGCUUUGAAGUGUGGACGCCAGUCUGCAUGGAGCCGACCUUGAAAUACCACCCUUUAAUGUUUGAUGUUCUAACGUGGACCCGUGAUCCGGGUUGCGGACAGUGUCUGGUGGGUAGUUUGACUGGGGCGGUCUCCUCCUAAAGAGUAACGGAGGAGCACGAAGGUUGGCUAAUCCUGGUCGGACAUCAGGAGGUUAGUGCAAUGGCAUAAGCCAGCUUGACUGCGAGCGUGACGGCGCGAGCAGGUGCGAAAGCAGGUCAUAGUGAUCCGGUGGUUCUGAAUGGAAGGGCCAUCGCUCAACGGAUAAAAGGUACUCCGGGGAUAACAGGCUGAUACCGCCCAAGAGUUCAUAUCGACGGCGGUGUUUGGCACCUCGAUGUCGGCUCAUCACAUCCUGGGGCUGAAGUAGGUCCCAAGGGUAUGGCUGUUCGCCAUUUAAAGUGGUACGCGAGCUGGGUUUAGAACGUCGUGAGACAGUUCGGUCCCUAUCUGCCGUGGGCGCUGGAGAACUGAGGGGGGCUGCUCCUAGUACGAGAGGACCGGAGUGGACGCAUCACUGGUGUUCGGGUUGUCAUGCCAAUGGCACUGCCCGGUAGCUAAAUGCGGAAGAGAUAAGUGCUGAAAGCAUCUAAGCACGAAACUUGCCCCGAGAUGAGUUCUCCCUGAGACUUAGAGUCUCCUGAAGGAACGUUGAAGACGACGACGUUGAUAGGCCGGGUGUGUAAGCGCAGCGAUGCGUUGAGCUAACCGGUACUAAUGAACCGUGAGGCUUAACCUUAC
This 2915-nucleotide ribosomal RNA is filed under the name Salmonella enterica. RNAcentral's name for it is "partial 23S ribosomal RNA". It matches the Rfam family "Bacterial large subunit ribosomal RNA". The record is from RNAcentral. Lineage: Bacteria; Pseudomonadati; Pseudomonadota; Gammaproteobacteria; Enterobacterales; Enterobacteriaceae. RNAcentral also lists the same sequence under 1 other name.